RNAcentral lists this ribosomal RNA (523 nucleotides) under uncultured soil bacterium. RNAcentral describes it as "bacterial SSU rRNA". It matches the Rfam family "Bacterial small subunit ribosomal RNA", at positions 26 to 537 of the family's 1533-position model. The record is from RNAcentral.
AGAUUGAACGCUGGCGGCAGGCCUAACACAUGCAAGUCGAGCGGUAGAGAGGUGCUUGCAUCUCUUGAGAGCGGCGGACGGGUGAGUAAUGCCUAGGAAUCUGCCUAGUGGUGGGGGAUAACGUUCGGAAACGGACGCUAAUACCGCAUACGUCCUACGGGAGAAAGCGGGGGACCUUCGGGCCUCGCGCCAUUAGAUGAGCCUAGGUCGGAUUAGCUAGUUGGUGAGGUAAUGGCUCACCAAGGCGACGAUCCGUAACUGGUCUGAGAGGAUGAUCAGUCACACUGGAACUGAGACACGGUCCAGACUCCUACGGGAGGCAGCAGUGGGGAAUAUUGGACAAUGGGCGAAAAGCCUGAUCCAGCCAUGCCGCGUGUGUGGAGAAGGUCUUCGGAUUAGUAAAAGCAACUUUAAGUUUGGAAGGAAGGGUUGAAACCCUUAAUACGUUUGCUAAACGUUUGAACGUUACCGAACUAGAAAUAAAGCGAACCGGCCUAAACUUCCGUGACCAGACGAGCCGUAA